RNAcentral lists this ribosomal RNA (496 nucleotides) under uncultured bacterium. Its description in RNAcentral is "partial 16S ribosomal RNA". It matches the Rfam family "Bacterial small subunit ribosomal RNA", at positions 30 to 523 of the family's 1533-position model. The record is from RNAcentral.
AUUGAACGCUGGCGGAAUGCUUUACACAUGCAAGUCGAACGGUAGAGGGGGCAACCCCUCGAGAGUGGCGAACGGGUGAGUAAUAUAUCGGAACGUGCCCAGUCGUGGGGGAUAACGUAGCGAAAGUUACGCUAAUACCGCAUACGAUCUAAGGAUGAAAGCGGGGGAUCGCAAGACCUCGCGCGAUUGGAGCGGCCGAUAUCAGAUUAGGUAGUUGGUGGGGUAAAGGCUCACCAAGCCAACGAUCUGUAGCUGGUCUGAGAGGACGACCAGCCACACGGGAACUGCGACACGGUCCAGACUCCUGCGGGAGGCAGCAGUGGGGAAUGUUGGACAAUGGACGCAAGUCUGAUCCAGCCAUUCCGCGUGCAGGAUGAAGGCCCUCGGGUUGUAAACUGCUUUUGUACGGAACGAAAAGGUCUCUCUUAAUACGGGGGACUCAUGACGGUACCGUAAGAAUAAGCACCGGCUAACUACGUGCCAGCCGCCGCCGUAA